RNAcentral lists this long non-coding RNA (1524 nucleotides) under Piliocolobus tephrosceles (Ugandan red Colobus). RNAcentral's name for it is "lncRNA (ENSPTEG00000004014.1)". Lineage: Eukaryota; Metazoa; Chordata; Mammalia; Primates; Cercopithecidae. The record is from RNAcentral.
CUCAUUUAUUAUUUGUUUAUUGCCUUAUUUAUUUAUUAUCGAUUCUAAUAGGAUUCCAAGUAACAAUUAUCUACAUUUUUUUCAUUUUUUUAUUAUCUCGCCUAUCAAAUAUAUUACUAAAUAUGUUAGAUUAAAUUGUUUUAUAAAUACUAAUAGUGAUUUUAAAUAUGAACAUAUAUGGUAUAUACAAAGAUUUAUUAAAAUUGUCGAACCUUUAGUUGAUUGUAUUAUGGUGACUAUUCUAUUUUUUUUUAUUUAUUUUUUAUACACUUUUUGGAAUAGUAAAAAAUUAAAAAAAGCUGAAAAAGUGAUUCAAAAACAAAUAGAUGACAGAAAUGAAGAUAAUUAUUAUCAGUAUAUAGAUGAUUUUGCUUAUAGAUAUCCGAGAAAAUUUAGUCAAACCAUAUGUAAGCAAAAUAUAACUAAAAAUAAAAAUAAAAGGAUUAAAAAAUGGGACAAUUCUGACAUAGAAGAAUAUGUACGACAAAGUCAAAAUAAGCGUACGAGCAUUUGGGCAAAAUGUUUCAAUAGUAUAAUGGAUAAUACUAUGAGAAAAAAAAAAAUAGACAAAAAUGUGAGCAAUAAUGGUAGUACUAAUGGCAGUACUAAUGGCGAUACUAAUAGCGGUACUAAUAAUUUUGCCAACAUAUUCACAGGCGAAAAUAACCAAAACAAAGAAAAAAAAAAAAAAAUAAAUAGACAUUUUCACGUAAAAGACAAAGAAAAACGCAAUAAACAUAGUAAUCAAAAUUUUCCAAAAUUUCCAAAUUUUCCAGAUGUAUCAGACGUAUCAGAUGUAUUAGGCAAAAAGAAUGACCAGAAUGGGGAUGCAAACGAAGAAACAUAUACAACAUAUAGUAGCACUAAUAUUCAGAAAUAUGUUUUGAACCCGAUUUCUUCUACAAACUUCAUGACAUCUGAUUCGGAAAAUCACUCGAACGAAUCAAACGACGUUGAUGAGGAACAAGAAUCAUCAUCUGCUGACGAGGGUAUUAUACAUUAUAAAGAAUUAUACAUAAAAAAUGAAACCACUAGAAAAAACACACAGAGCAUACAAAAUAAUAUUAUAAAAGAUACUUAUUGGACAUAUAUGUGUUUAUUAAAUAUAUAUAAUAUAAGAGUUUUAGGUUUAUUUCGUUUUAUACAUCCACCAAACACAAGUUGGUAUACAAAAAUCAAAAAAUUAUUAGAAGAUUUUAAAGCAGCAUAUGUUAUUAUUUUAUACCUUCAUUUACCAUUUACACUUAUGAGUACAGUCGAACUUUUAUGGUGUCAACCAAUAAAAUACAAAAAUAAUAAUCCUACAUUAAUUUUAUAUCACAUGCCAUCACAGGUUUGUAGCUUGAAAAACAAAUUGUUUGUAUUUGGAAUAGUAUACGCUUUAUUAUUUCAACUGAUAUAUAUUUUUAUAGUUUUAAGAUCUAUUUAUAAAGCCAUGAAUAUAUUCAAAACAAAUUCAUCUUAUACCAAUCAGUUAAAUAAUUACUUUUUAUUUAAUGGAUAUAAUUACAAAAACAGAUGUUG